This is a non-coding RNA of Lactuca sativa (garden lettuce), 757 nucleotides long. The record is from RefSeq and is a predicted model, not a curated record. NCBI's taxonomy places the organism in Eukaryota, Viridiplantae, Streptophyta, Magnoliopsida, Asterales, Asteraceae.
UCAGUUUGUUUAGUACCUAUAACAAUCAAAACUGAUGUGCUUGAUAUCAUUCAUAUUUUCUUUAACAACUCAUCAAUGGAUAUUAAAGCUCAAAGAAAGGAGAAGAUUGAAGUUUGAACAACAUACAAAAAAACUCUGAAUAAAUAUUUCAUAAGUAAAAUGAUAUGAAAAGUGAGGGUCCUGUUAUGAAGCUUAUGGGAUUUGGAUCGUGAAAUUCAAUUGGGAAAGAGCGAAGAAACAAACCGAAAGCGAUUAUAAAAUAUUUAUUCUGAGUUUUUUUGAAUCGCAACAUAACAUACCAAAAACCAAAUCGCUAAAAAGAAAUUCAGAAUCCGAUUGUGAAAUUGGAUGGGAAGACAAGAAACAAACCGAAAGCGAUUAUGGUGUCAACCCAUCUAGUUCUGUCAGAUGGAGAGGACAGUAAGCUAGUAGCAAAACAGAGGAGGGCGAUGGUGGAGAAGUCAUGUUGGAAAGAAACGGAGGAGGAGGGCGCUGGGGCUUGCGGUGGUCAACGAGGAGUGAAACAGUGGACCAGUGGUAGGAGUUGCAGAAGUGGAGGGAUUAAAACGCGAUUAAAUUUUUUUUAGGAAUGGAGACAAAAAGUUAAAAUUGUUGGAUUAUUCAUAAAGGUAUUCAACUUAAGGGAGGAAUUUUUUAAUUUAUUUUUGGAUAAAUGAAUUAUUGUUUAAAUAUCAUUGUUAAUAAAACAAAACCAAGUCCAAAAAAAAAAAAAAACACAAAGUAAUAAAACACGAUA